GGCGCUGAAGCGUCGUGCUUAUACUCGGCCGUCGGGACAGUAGUGAUAUCUUUACUACUCUCCGGAGUGUAAAAUAUCGUCAGGUCUCGACGAGUAGGUGGGCCGCGGCGGUGAGCGCAGAAGGACUGGGCGUAGGCCCGUCUGGAGCCACCGUCGGUGCAGAUCUUGGUGGUAGUAGCAAAUACUCCAGCGAGGCCCUGGAGGACUGACGUGGAGAAGGGUUUCGUGUGAACAGCCGUUGCACACGAGUCAGUCGAUCCUAAGCCCUAGGAGAAAUCCGAUGUUAAUGCAGUUGUGUCUUAAUAAUACGAUACCGAGUUGGUGUGAGAGUUUCAAACAGUUGACGUUUAUACUUUGAUACAGUUAAAUAAUAAUGCUGGGCUAAACUGAACUAUUUUACUAUAUUACACUCGAUAUUAUUGAACGUUCAUAAGUGCAGUAUACUACUUCUUGCGGGUGACCGUUAGUCGUAGACUCUCACUUGUUCAAUUAGUGGUGGUUAUAUGUAUAUAUAUGGUGGUAGUUGAAACACUUUGUUAUUGUAGAAAAGUGUCAUCUGUCUCUAUCCACUAACUAAAUCGUUGUUAGAGAAGUAUCACACUCAUUGGGCGAAAGGGAAUCCGGUUCCUAUUCCGGAACCCGGCAGCGGAACCGUUUACAAGUCGGGCCCUCUUUUGAGAGUUCGUCGGGGCAACCCAACAAGACCUGGAGACGCCGUCGGGAGAUCCGGGAAGAGUUUUCUUUUCUGUAUGAGCGUUCGAGUUCCCUGGAAUCCUCUAGCAGGGAGAUAGGGUUUGGAACGCGAAGAGCACCGCAGUUGCGGCGGUGUCUGGAUCGUCCCCUCGGACCUUGAAAAUCCAGGAGAGGGCCACGUGGAGGUGUCGCGCCGGUUCGUACCCAUAUCCGCAGCAGUUCCAAGGAGAC
RNAcentral lists this ribosomal RNA (924 nucleotides) under Carabus melancholicus. RNAcentral's name for it is "eukaryotic LSU rRNA". It matches the Rfam family "Eukaryotic large subunit ribosomal RNA", at positions 1324 to 1876 of the family's 3401-position model. The record is from RNAcentral. Lineage: Eukaryota; Metazoa; Arthropoda; Insecta; Coleoptera; Carabidae.